This 84-nucleotide non-coding RNA is filed under the name Gloeochaete wittrockiana. The record is from RNAcentral. Lineage: Eukaryota; Glaucocystophyceae; Gloeochaetales; Gloeochaetaceae.
UGGGAGUACGACUACAACCUCUUCUGGACUCUGCAGGUGGUCUCGUACGCGUUCUUCUUUUUCGCCCUCGUCUCGAUGUGUUAU